AAUUUUACAGUAUUAUUAAGAUUCCCACGUAUAAUAUUUUUUUUUUGUAUUUUCUUCCGUUAUUUAAAAAUACCCUCACAGUUACUAUUUAAUAAGUUAUCUCGAAUUAAACGUAAGUUAAGUGUCUAUUAGGAUUAAAAUAAAUUAAAAUACCUCUUCACAGGAAUAUAUAAGCAAUUGCCCCUAUUUUCUAGCACUAAUGAACUAUCAUAUAGAACAAAACCUAAACUGAUAUUCAUUUCAAGACGCUGCUU
Molecule: long non-coding RNA, 254 nt
Filed under: Ananas comosus (pineapple)
Lineage: Eukaryota; Viridiplantae; Streptophyta; Magnoliopsida; Poales; Bromeliaceae
Description: long non-coding RNA (ACOM_LNC023296)
Source: RNAcentral